This 949-nucleotide long non-coding RNA is filed under the name Medicago truncatula (barrel medic). Its description in RNAcentral is "long non-coding RNA (MTRU_LNC005075)". The record is from RNAcentral. Lineage: Eukaryota; Viridiplantae; Streptophyta; Magnoliopsida; Fabales; Fabaceae.
UCUGUCCGCUCUUUCUACUGCGCUAACGCAUGUAACUCAUAAACAGUAUGUUUUUCAACAACAAUGUUGUUUAGAUUUUCUUGAUAUAUCUUGGAGAAAAUUAUUAGAAUUAAAAGAAAUAUCAUACAUUCCCCUCAAAAAGAGAAAGUUCUAAUGUGAUAAAAAAAUGUAAGAUAGAUAAUACAUGCACUUGUCUAACAUGAAGUUAUUUACGAUUUACUUAGUUUUGUGAUGCAUACUCAUCUAUAUAAGAAAUAUGAAUAUGCAUGAAACAUGAGUGAAAUUUAUGCGAGUGGGUUUCACGAAGACAAUAAAUCUUUCCUACCGCUAACACAAUUUAUAAAAACCUUUAUUGAUUAGAGUUUAAUCUUUUUGCAUUUGUCUAAUAUUCACCCAUUCACCAUCUCUCCUAUUAAAAGAAAGCUCCCUCUUUACCCAAUCUACCUCUCUCUUAUUGCAUUUGUCUAAUCAUUUUUAUCCCUACUAUUGAGUUUCCGCUUUAGUACACUUUAAUCAAAGCCACACAAAAUUUGAAAAAAAGUUAUUUUGGUGGUUUUUUUUAUGUCGUGAAUUCAGUUUAGCAAUUUUGUAAAAAAAAUAUUUUUAGUGUUUGUAAUUUAAAAAGGAAAAGUAAGCCCUCCUCUCAUAAAUCUUCCAUCUAAACACACCAUUCUUUCUAAAAAAAAAAACAUUUCUAAAAUACAUAAUAUGUUGAAUCACAAUCAAUAUUUCUCACCAACAAAUAAAUUUUUUGAAAGAUUCUUACACACAAAAAUAAAGCCUCCCAACAAUACCAAUGAAAAUUCACUAUAUGUAAGCUUUCCUCAAAGGCAACUAAAAAGUAGAAGAGGAAAAAAAAAGCAGAAUAUAUAUUUUUAAAUCAAGUGCCAAAGUUAUAACAAUCAUAAAUCAAUAGCUUGAUUAAAGAAACAAACAAUAGAUACCUAAG